GGGCCCGCACAAGCGGUGGAGUAUGUGGUUUAAUUCGACGCAACGCGCAGAACCUUACCCAGUCUAGAAGUCAUAGGAAUCCGACAGAAACGUUGGAGUGCCCCUUGGGGAAUCUAUGUGACAGGUGCUGCAUGGCUGUCGUCAGCUCGUGUCGUGAGAUGUUCGUUAAGUCCGGUAACGAGCGCAACCCCUAUCUUUAGUUGCCAGCGGUUCGGCCGGGGACUCUAAAGAAACUGCCCGCGCAAGCGGUGAGGAAGGUGGGGAUGACGUCAAAUCAUCACGGCCCUUACGUCUUGGCUACACACGUGCUACAAUGGUAGUGACAAUGGGCAGCC
This 335-nucleotide ribosomal RNA is filed under the name uncultured bacterium. RNAcentral's name for it is "bacterial SSU rRNA". It matches the Rfam family "Bacterial small subunit ribosomal RNA", at positions 917 to 1251 of the family's 1533-position model. The record is from RNAcentral.